Molecule: long non-coding RNA, 562 nt
Filed under: Rhinopithecus bieti (black snub-nosed monkey)
Lineage: Eukaryota; Metazoa; Chordata; Mammalia; Primates; Cercopithecidae
Description: lncRNA (ENSRBIG00000046216.1)
Source: RNAcentral
UGUUAAAAUGUUUGCUUGUUUUCUAUAGGUGUGCAUCAUUUCACAGUUAUUGGCAAUGGUUCAAUGGUUUCAUCUGCUUUGAACAGUUUCUUCUCCAUCAUUAAGAGGAAUGGUUUAUGUAAUUUCUUCAAUCAACAGAAGUGGAAGCCUGAGUGUAAACCGAUGAAGGUGCAUAAAUUAACAAGGAAGGAGUUAACACCUCUGCUCUCAUAAUCUUACUGGUAACUUCUGUAUAGCUAAAAUAAUUCUUGUUGAUAUCAUAUUCUGAUAAUUCUAUACUCAGUGGAAAAAGAAAAAUACCUAGGCAUGCUUCUCCAUAUUAUUUGUUUUACAGUUCUCUUCUUUAGUUUUUAAUUUCUUAUCUUUUGGUGUCAUAAUUCUUUUUUUUUUUUUUUUGUAACCUUUCUAAAUUCUUCAUAUCUCUAAGUUGUGAAACCCCAACUAAAUAAAAUAUCUUAUCAGUAUUAUUGUUAAUAAUGAUUCUAUAUGUUUUUACUUUGGACCUUUGUUAUUCCCUUGUAGUACAUUAAACUUUUGGGGGUUACAUUAAUCCUUUUAAACC